This is a non-coding RNA of Oryctolagus cuniculus (rabbit), 814 nucleotides long. The record is from RefSeq and is a predicted model, not a curated record. Lineage: Eukaryota; Metazoa; Chordata; Mammalia; Lagomorpha; Leporidae.
GAUUUCGCCUCUGGGCCCUGGCGUCCCUUCACAGACCACCACGCUAGUGCGUGCCCCUGUCGGAGCUCAGAUGGAACAAGUCGCCAUCUCUUCCUUCAGAAUUCCUAUUCUAGGAGCUGGCCCCCAACUACGACUCCGUGAAAAGAGAGCCCUUGGGUGCCACAACUUUUGACUAGUGGCGAAAAAACCCAUCAGAUGCCCUCGCAGGCCAGAACAUCCUAACCCGAGGACCCAGCCAUCCUGGGAGUAGGGACGGAGGUCAGUGAGGACCUCCCUGGGAAAGUGAGCUGAACAGUGGCUUGAAGAGGAAGAGUCGGGUGCAUGUCUUGGGGCAUGCAAUAGCAAGAAGCUGGAUGAGAAGAGGAGUAGACUGGAGUCAACCAGGCACUCUGAUAUGGGAUGCAGGCAUCCUAAGUAGUGCUGUAACUGCUGCACAAAAUGCCCGUUCCAGCACCUGGCCUUUGAAAAGAAGCAACAUUUCAGACGUUAGAUAAGGGACAUCCCAAGGUCUGGCCCGGCAAGACAAGCCUGGCAGGUAAUCUUAAGGACUUUUUUUUUUUUUUUAAACCCUGUCAUAGUGCUGAGGAUGACCUCCAGGAACACCUGCGGCAGCUGGAGGGCAAGAUGAUGGUUAUGUCCAAGAUGGUUGCAGUCACGUCAAGCUAAAUCCCCAGUCUCCCUAGGAAUUCAGCAUCUCAUCAGGUCCCACUGGUUAGAAUGAUCCUGUUCUGACCCCUGAUCAUAUGAUACUAGUAUGUGCAUUUUUCCUUUUUAGAUCUUACACAGAUGGUAUUAAAUGUAGUCUUUAUGGUUA